This 491-nucleotide ribosomal RNA is filed under the name uncultured bacterium. Its description in RNAcentral is "partial 16S ribosomal RNA". It matches the Rfam family "Bacterial small subunit ribosomal RNA", at positions 29 to 506 of the family's 1533-position model. The record is from RNAcentral.
AGUGAACGCUGGCGGUAGGCCUAACACAUGCAAGUCGAACGGCAGCACAGUAAGAGCUUGCUCUUACGGGUGGCGAGUGGCGGACGGGUGAGGAAUACAUCGGAAUCUACUUUUUCGUGGGGGAUAACGUAGGGAAACUUACGCUAAUACCGCAUACGACCUACAGGUGAAAGCAGGGGAUCUUCGGACCUUGCGCGAUUGAAUGAGCCGAUGUCGGAUUAGCUAGUUGGCGGGGUAAAGGCCCACCAAGGCGACGAUCCGUAGCUGGUCUGAGAGGAUGAUCAGCCACACUGGAACUGAGACACGGUCCGGACUCCUACGGGAGGCAGCAGUGGGGAAUAUUGGACAAUGGGCGCAAGCCUGAUCCAGCCACACCGCGUGGGUGAAGAAGGCCUUCGGGUUGUAAAGCCCUUUUGUUGGGAAAGAAAAGCAGCAGGUUAAUACCCCGCUGUUCUGACGGUACCCAAAGAAUAAGCACCGGCUAACUGCGU